RNAcentral lists this ribosomal RNA (788 nucleotides) under uncultured prokaryote. Its description in RNAcentral is "bacterial SSU rRNA". It matches the Rfam family "Bacterial small subunit ribosomal RNA", at positions 682 to 1482 of the family's 1533-position model. The record is from RNAcentral.
UGAAAUGCUUAGAUAUCACGAAGAACUNCGAUUGCGAAGGCAGCUUGCUGGACUGUAACUGACGCUGAGGCACGAAAGCGUGGGGAUCAAACAGGAUUAGAUANCCUGGUAGUCCACGCCGUAAACGAUGAUAACUAGCUGUUUGCGAUACACAGUAAGCGGCACAGCGAAAGCGUUAAGUUAUCCACCUGGNGAGUACGCCGGCAACGGUGAAACUCAAAGGAAUUGACGGGGGNCCGCACAAGCGGAGGAACAUGUGGUUUAAUUCGAUGAUACGCGAGGAACCUUACCCGGGCUUGAACGUAGGGAGACAGUUCUGGAAACAGAAUCUCUAGCAAUAGCUGCCUACGAGGUGCUGCAUGGUUGUCGUCAGCUCGUGCCGUGAGGUGUCGGCUUAAGUGCCAUAACGAGCGCAACCCACAUCGAUAGUUACUAACAGGUUAAGCUGAGGACUCUAUCGAGACUGCCGACGUAAGUCGUGAGGAAGGUGGGGAUGACGUCAAAUCAGCACGGCCCUUACGUCCAGGGCUACACACGUGUUACAAUGGGGGGUACAAAGGGCAGCUACCUGGCGACAGGAUGCUAAUCUCAAAAACCUCUCUCAGUUCGGAUUGGAGUCUGCAACCCGACUCCAUGAAGCUGGAUUCGCUAGUAAUCGCGCAUCAGCCACGGCGCGGUGAAUACGUUCCCGGGCCUUGUACACACCGCCCGUCAAGCCAUGGGAGCCGGGGGGACCUGAAGUAUGCAACCGCAAGGAGCGUCCUAGGGUAAAACCGGUAACUGGGGCU